Molecule: ribosomal RNA, 253 nt
Filed under: uncultured bacterium
Lineage: Bacteria
Description: partial 16S ribosomal RNA
Rfam family: Bacterial small subunit ribosomal RNA
Source: RNAcentral
UACGUAAGGUGCAAGCGUUGUCCGGAAUUAUUGGGCGUAAAGAGCUUGUAGGCGGUUUGUCGCGUCUGCUGUGAAAUUUCGGGGCUCAACCCCGAACUUGCAGUGGGUACGGGCAGACUAGAGUGUGGUAGGGGAGACUGGAAUUCCUGGUGUAGCGGUGAAAUGCGCAGAUAUCAGGAGGAACACCGAUGGCGAAGGCAGGUCUCUGGGCCACUACUGACGCUGAGACGCGAAAGCGUGGGGAGCAAACAGG